CACUCCUGCGGGAGGCAGCAGUGGGGAAUUUUGGACAAUGGGCGAAAGCCUGAUCCAGCCAUGCCGCGUGCAGGAUGAAGGCCUUCGGGUUGUAAACUGCUUUUGUACGGAACGAAACGGCCUUUUCUAAUAAAGAGGGCUAAUGACGGUACCGUAAGAAUAAGCACCGGCUAACUACGUGCCAGCAGCCGCGGUAAUACGUAGGGUGCAAGCGUUAAUCGGAAUUACUGGGCGUAAAGCGUGCGCAGGCGGUUAUGUAAGACAGUUGUGAAAUCCCCGGGCUCAACCUGGGAACUGCAUCUGUGACUGCAUAGCUAGAGUACGGUAGAGGGGGAUGGAAUUCCGCGUGUAGCAGUGAAAUGCGUAGAUAUGCGGAGGAACACCGAUGGCGAAGGCAAUCCCCUGGACCUGUACUGACGCUCAUGCACGAAAGCGUGGGGAGCAAACAGGAGUAGAUACCCGUGUAGUCCCAUGA
Molecule: ribosomal RNA, 475 nt
Filed under: uncultured organism
Description: partial 16S ribosomal RNA
Rfam family: Bacterial small subunit ribosomal RNA
Source: RNAcentral